GGCCCGUUAGCUCAGCCCGGUUAGAGCACCUGCCUUUUAAGCAGGGUGUCAGGGGUUCAAAUCCCCUACGGGCCA
RNAcentral lists this transfer RNA (75 nucleotides) under Candidatus Pacearchaeota archaeon. RNAcentral describes it as "tRNA-Lys". It matches the Rfam family "tRNA". From Rfam's summary of the family: Transfer RNA (tRNA) molecules are approximately 80 nucleotides in length. Their secondary structure includes four short double-helical elements and three loops (D, anti-codon, and T loops). Lineage: Archaea; Nanobdellati. The record is from RNAcentral.